GACGAACGCUGGCGGCGUGCUUAACACAUGCAAGUCGAACGAUGAAGCAAAGAAUCGAAGCUUCGGCAGAAAUUCAUUUCGGAUUAGUGGCAGACGGGUGAGUAACGCGUGAGCAACCUACCUCUUACAAAGGGAUAGCCUCGGGAAACCGGGAUUAAUACCAUAUAACAUUGUGACGAAGCAUUUCGAUGCAAUCAAAGCUACGGCGGUAAGAGAUGGGCUCGCGUCCCAUUAACCGGAUGGUGAGGUAACGGCUCACCAUAGUGACGAUGGGUAACCGGCCUGAGAGGGUGAACGGUCACACUGGAACUGAGACACGGUCCAGACUCCUACGGGAGGCAGCAGUGGGGAAUAUUGCACAAUGGAGGGAACUCUGAUGCAGCGACGCCGCGUGAGUGAUGAAGGAAUUCGUUUCGUAAAACUCUGUUCUAUGGGAAGAAAAGGACUGUACCAUAGGAGAAAGCUCCGGCGAAAUACGU
Molecule: ribosomal RNA, 479 nt
Filed under: uncultured bacterium
Lineage: Bacteria
Description: partial 16S ribosomal RNA
Rfam family: Bacterial small subunit ribosomal RNA
Source: RNAcentral